GAGAUGGAGCUUGCUCCCGGAUGUUAGCGGCGGACGGGUGAGUAACACGUGGGUAACCUGCCUGUGGACUGGGAUAACUCCGGGAAGCGGAGCUAAUACCGGAUAGUUCCUUGAACCGCAUGGUUCAUGGAUGAAAGACGGUUUCNGCUGGCACUUACACAUGGACCCGCGGCGCAGUAUCUAGUUGGAGGGGUAAUGGCUCACCUAGGCGACUAUGCGUAGCCGACGUGACNAGGGUGAUCGGCCACACUGGGACUGACANACGGACCAAACUCCUGCAGGAGGUCCCCUGAGGGAAUCUUCCGCAAUGGACGAAAGUCUGACAGAGCAUCUCCCCGUGACUGAUGAAGGUUUUCGGAGCGUAGAGCUCUGUUGGUAGGGAAGAACAUGUGCUAUAGUAACUGCUCGCACCUUGAUAGUACCUAACCAGAAAGCCACGGCUAACUACGUGCCAGCAGCCGCGGUAAUACGUAGGUGGCAAGCGUUGUCCGGAAUUAUUGGGCGUAAAGGGCUCGCAGGCGGUUUCUUAAGUCUGAUGUGAAAGCCCCCGGCUCAACCGGGGAGGGUCAUUGGAAACUGGGAAACUUGAGUGCAGAAGAGGAGAGUGGAAUUCCACGUGUAGCGGUGAAAUGCGUAGAGAUGUGGAGGAACACCAGUGGCGAAGGCGACUCUCUGGUCUGUAACUGACGCUGAGGAGCGAAAGCGUGGGGAGCGAACAGGAUUAGAUACCCUGGUAGUCCACGCCGUAAACGAUGAGUGCUAAGUGUUAGGGGGUUUCCGCCCCUUAGUGCUGCAGCUAACGCAUUAAGCACUCCGCCUGGGGAGUACGGUCGCAAGACUGAAACUCAAAGGAAUUGACGGGGGCCCGCACAAGCGGUGGAGCAUGUGGUUUAAUUCGAAGCAACGCGAAGAACCUUACCAGGUCUUGACAUCCUCUGACAACCCUAGAGAUAGGGCUUUCCCUUCGGGGACAGAGUGACAGGUGGUGCAUGGUUGUCGUCAGCUCGUGUCGUGAGAUGUUGGGUUAAGUCCCGCAACGAGCGCAACCCUUGAUCUUAGUUGCAGCAUUUAGUUGG
This 1076-nucleotide ribosomal RNA is filed under the name Bacillus sp. (in: firmicutes). RNAcentral's name for it is "bacterial SSU rRNA". It matches the Rfam family "Bacterial small subunit ribosomal RNA", at positions 70 to 1134 of the family's 1533-position model. The record is from RNAcentral. Lineage: Bacteria; Bacillati; Bacillota; Bacilli; Caryophanales; Bacillaceae.